Phoenix dactylifera (date palm) is the source of this 103-nucleotide small nuclear RNA. The record is from RefSeq and is a predicted model, not a curated record. NCBI's taxonomy places the organism in Eukaryota, Viridiplantae, Streptophyta, Magnoliopsida, Arecales, Arecaceae.
GUGGUAUCAAAGACAUCCGAUAAAAUUGGAACAAUACAGAGAAGAUUAGCAUGGCUCCAGCGCAAGGAUGAUAUAUAUAAAUUGAGAAAUAGUAUCAGAGCAG